AUUGAACGCUGGCGGCAUGCCUUACACAUGCAAGUCGAACGGCCGCACGGGUGCUUGCCCCUGGUGGCGAGUGGCGAACGGGUGAGUAAUACAUCGGAACAUGUCCUGUAGUGGGGGAUAGCCCGGCGAAAGCCGGAUUAAUACCGCAUACGAUCUACGGAUGAAAGCGGGGGACCUUCGGGCCUCGCGCUAUAGGGUUGGCCGAUGGCUGAUUAGCUAGUUGGUGGGGUAAGGCCUACCAAGGCGACGAUCAGUAGCUGGUCUGAGAGGACGACCAGCCACACUGGGACUGAGACACGGCCCAGACUCCUACGGGAGGCAGCAGUGGGGAAUUUUGGACAAUGGGCGAAAGCCUGAUCCAGCAAUGCCGCGUGUGUGAAGAAGGCCUUCGGGUUGUAAAGCACUUUUGUCCGGAAAGAAAUCCUUGGCCCUAAUACGGUCGGGGGAUGACGGUACCGGAAGAAUAAGCACCGGCUAACUACGUG
RNAcentral lists this ribosomal RNA (485 nucleotides) under uncultured bacterium. RNAcentral describes it as "partial 16S ribosomal RNA". It matches the Rfam family "Bacterial small subunit ribosomal RNA", at positions 30 to 507 of the family's 1533-position model. The record is from RNAcentral.